Molecule: ribosomal RNA, 255 nt
Filed under: uncultured bacterium
Lineage: Bacteria
Description: partial 16S ribosomal RNA
Rfam family: Bacterial small subunit ribosomal RNA
Source: RNAcentral
UACGGGGGGAGCAAGCGUUGUUCGGAUUUACUGGGCGUAAAGGGCGCGUAGGCGGCCACUGCAAGUCGGUUGUGAAAUCUCCGGGCUUAACCCGGAAAGGUCAACCGAUACUGCAGGGCUAGAGUGCAGAAGGGGCAACUGGAAUUCGUCGGUGUAGCGGUGAAAUGCGUAGAUAUCGAGAGGAACACCUGCGGCGAAGGCGGGUUGCUGGGCUGACACUGACGCUGAUGCGCGAAAGCUAGGGGAGCGAACGGG